UAGCCAUCUCUCUUCAUCAGCGCCAGAGCAAGCUCCACAGUGUGCCGUCGAGUUCUAGGCAGCUCCAGGGACGCUUCAUGAAAGGUUAAGUUCAUGACUUUAGAGACUAGUUCUUUUCUGCCGUUCGAAAGAAUUUCUGUGCUAACGGGCACUGUUGAUGCAGCUAGACCAAGGAAAGCUUCCAGCUGCUUUCCAUGAGCUUGGGUGAUUUCUUGGAGGAGCCAAGAAGUUUCACUGGCGAUUUCUAGUUGCUCGUCGUGACAGAGGUAUGGCCAGAUACUUCUCAAUAUGUUCCCUGCACAGGCACUUACAUCUUGGUUCCCAGCUUUGAGAAUGGCGAUGAAGCUUUCGAGCAUUUGAUGUGAUCUUAUAACUCGGGAGGAGUUUUUGGAGCUCUUCAGGACUAAAAGGUACACAGCCUCUCCAGCCUUUAAGCGCACUGUGAAUUCGAUGCCUUCUUGAUCGUGUUCGUCUUUAAGAAAUAGAGCUAGAAGGCUGUGAACUAGCCCGCCAGUUCCUGCUAUGUUCUCCUUGAUGCCAUCAUCUAAUGCCAGGCUUGUGAUGAUGUCCACAGCUAGACCCCGGAGAACUGGAUGAGCUCCACAGUGCUGAA
This 613-nucleotide long non-coding RNA is filed under the name Selaginella moellendorffii. Its description in RNAcentral is "long non-coding RNA (SMOE_LNC000085)". Lineage: Eukaryota; Viridiplantae; Streptophyta; Lycopodiopsida; Selaginellales; Selaginellaceae. The record is from RNAcentral.